Molecule: ribosomal RNA, 426 nt
Filed under: uncultured bacterium
Lineage: Bacteria
Description: bacterial SSU rRNA
Rfam family: Bacterial small subunit ribosomal RNA
Source: RNAcentral
UGGGGAAUCUUGGACAAUGGGCGAAAGCCUGAUCCAGCCAUGCCGCGUGUGUGAAGAAGGUCUUCGGAUUGUAAAGCACUUUAAGUUGGGAGGAAGGGCAGUUACCUAAUACGUAUCUGUUUUGACGUUACCGACAGAAUAAGCACCGGCUAACUCUGUGCCAGCAGCCGCGGUAAUACAGAGGGUGCAAGCGUUAAUCGGAAUUACUGGGCGUAAAGCGCGCGUAGGUGGUUUGUUAAGUUGGAUGUGAAAUCCCCGGGCUCAACCUGGGAACUGCAUUCAAAACUGACAAGCUAGAGUAUGGUAGAGGGUGGUGGAAUUUCCUGUGUAGCGGUGAAAUGCGUAGAUAUAGGAAGGAACACCAGUGGCGAAGGCGACCACCUGGACUGAUACUGACACUGAGGUGCGAAAGCGUGGGGAGCAAAC